AGACGAGAGGGGCGAGCGUUAUCCGGAAUAACUGGGCGUAAAGGGUCCGUAGGUUGUAGCUUGUAUGCUUUUAGUAAAAGACAAAAAUUUAAUUUUUGAAAUGCUUUAAGGACAGAUCUACUAGAGUUUAGCAGAGGAUAAUAGAAUUCCAUGUGGAGGGGUGGAAUCCUAAGAUAUAUGGAGGAAUGCCAGUAGCGAAAGCGAUUAUCUGGGCUAUUACUGACACUGAGGGACGAAAGCGUAGGUAGCAAACAGGAUUAGAUACCCUGGUAGUCUACGCUGUCAAUGCUGAGUGCUAAUAUUUGGAAUAAUAUUUUAGAUAUACAGUUAACACGUUAAGCACUCCGCCUGAGGAGUACGGCCGCAAGGCUAAA
This 374-nucleotide ribosomal RNA is filed under the name uncultured bacterium. RNAcentral describes it as "bacterial SSU rRNA". It matches the Rfam family "Bacterial small subunit ribosomal RNA", at positions 523 to 898 of the family's 1533-position model. The record is from RNAcentral.